Molecule: ribosomal RNA, 253 nt
Filed under: uncultured bacterium
Lineage: Bacteria
Description: partial 16S ribosomal RNA
Rfam family: Bacterial small subunit ribosomal RNA
Source: RNAcentral
UACGUAGGGUGCAAGCGUUGUCCGGAAUUAUUGGGCGUAAAGAGCUCGUAGGCGGUCUGUCGCGUCUGCCGUGAAAACUCGGGGCUUAACCCCGGGCCUGCAGUGGGUACGGGCAGACUAGAGUGCGGUAGGGGAGACUGGAAUUCCUGGUGUAGCGGUGAAAUGCGCAGAUAUCAGGAGGAACACCGGUGGCGAAGGCGGGUCUCUGGGCCGAUACUGACGCUGAGGAGCGAAAGCGUGGGGAGCAAACAGG